GUGAGGAAUAUUGGUCAAUGGGCGGGAGCCUGAACCAGCCAAGUCGCGUGAAGGAAGAAGGAUCUAUGGUUCGUAAACUUCUUUUGCAGGGGAAUAAAGUGCAGGACGUGUCCUGUUUUGUAUGUACCCUGAGAAUAAGGAUCGGCUAACUCCGUGCCAGCAGCCGCGGUAAUACGGAGGAUUCGAGCGUUAUCCGGAUUUAUUGGGUUUAAAGGGUGCGUAGGUGGUUUGAUAAGUCAGUGGUGAAAGUUUGCAGCUUAACUGUAAAAAUGCCGUUGAAACUGUCGGACUUGAGUGUAAAUGAGGUAGGCGGAAUGCGUGGUGUAGCGGUGAAAUGCAUAGAUAUCACGCAGAACUCCGAUUGCGAAGGCAGCUUACUAAGCUACAACUGACACUGAAGCACGAAAGCGUGGGGAUCAAACAGGAUUAGAAACCCCUGUAGUCC
Molecule: ribosomal RNA, 445 nt
Filed under: uncultured bacterium
Lineage: Bacteria
Description: partial 16S ribosomal RNA
Rfam family: Bacterial small subunit ribosomal RNA
Source: RNAcentral